This 277-nucleotide ribosomal RNA is filed under the name uncultured eukaryote. RNAcentral's name for it is "partial small subunit ribosomal RNA". It matches the Rfam family "Eukaryotic small subunit ribosomal RNA", at positions 587 to 869 of the family's 1831-position model. The record is from RNAcentral.
AGCUCCAAUAGCGUAUAUUAAAAUUGUUGUGGUUAAAAAGCUCGUAGUUGGAUAUUUGUCGAGGACUGGCGGUCCACCCUAGUGGUCGGCACUCGGUAUGUCCUUGGCAUUUUCCUGGGGAAAGCGUUGGCUCUUCAUUGAGUGGCGCAUGAUCCAGAACUUUUACUUUGAGGAAAUGAGAGUGUUUCAAGCAGGCGUUCGUCAUGAAUACGUUAGCAUGGAAUAAUAGCAUAGGACCCCGUUCUAAAGCUGUUGGUUUUUGGAACGAGGUAAUGAA